GAUGAAGAACGUAGCGAAAUGCGAUACGUAGUGUGAAUUGCAGAAUUCAGUGAAUCAUCGAAUCUUUGAACGCACAUUGCACCUCUCGGUAUUCCGGGAGGUAUGCCUGUUCGAGCGUCAUUUGUACCCUCAAGCUCUGCUUGGUGUUGGGUGUUUGUUCCGCCUCUGUGUGUGAACUCGCCUCAAAACAAUUGGCAGCCGGCGUACUUGUUUCGGAGCGCAGCACAUUUUGCGAUCCAGAUCAACGUACAGCGGCAUCCAAGAAGCCUUAUUUAACGCUCUUGACCUCCGAUCAGGUAGGGAUACCCGCUGAACUUAAGCAUAUCAAUAAGCGGAGGA
This 339-nucleotide unclassified non-coding RNA is filed under the name soil metagenome. Its description in RNAcentral is "partial contains 5.8S ribosomal RNA, internal transcribed spacer 2, and large subunit ribosomal RNA". The stretch from base 1 to 120 matches the Rfam family "5.8S ribosomal RNA", at positions 35 to 154 of the family's 154-position model. The record is from RNAcentral.